AUUCCAUGAUGAGGGCACUUCCUUAAUAAUUUUUUGUACCUUUCCCAUGCCUCAUACAAAGACUUAUCAUCUAUUUGCUAAAAAGUAGUGAUCUCGUUCCUCAACUU
This is a non-coding RNA of Gossypium hirsutum (cotton), 107 nucleotides long. Lineage: Eukaryota; Viridiplantae; Streptophyta; Magnoliopsida; Malvales; Malvaceae. The record is from Rfam.